RNAcentral lists this transfer-messenger RNA (355 nucleotides) under Coriobacteriia. Its description in RNAcentral is "WQUG01 sp009785855 Standard tmRNA". It matches the Rfam family "transfer-messenger RNA". Rfam says of the family: Bacterial tmRNA, also known as 10Sa RNA or SsrA, is named for its dual tRNA and mRNA-like properties. Its role is to liberate the mRNA from a stalled ribosome. RNAcentral also lists the same sequence under 1 other name. Lineage: Bacteria; Bacillati; Actinomycetota. The record is from RNAcentral.
GGGGGUGCACUGGUUUCGACAGGCAUAUACCGACCAGAGAAGCAAGCCGAGGUCUCCUCGCCUCGUUAAACAGGGGUACUCGCUGUUUAUAUGGCGAAAACACCUACGCACUCGCCGCUUAAUUAGCCGGCGACGUCAAACCGGGGCUCUGUCUCCGGCGCCGGGGCGACGUCACUUAAGGAGACUGCUUCCUGCGAACGUGGGCUGUAUGACGCAGGGCUAAGAUCGAACAGCCAUGAAAGGGAUCCUGUGGGUCGUCAGGCGGACCCCUUUCGAGAUCAUCUGGCGACUGAGCUUGGAGAUGCUCUGCAAGGCGUAUGUCUGGACGGGGGUUCGAUUCCCCCCACCUCCACCA